UCUUCUUCAGAUCUCAAAUGAGCCUCCUUU
RNAcentral lists this non-coding RNA (30 nucleotides) under Mus musculus (house mouse). Lineage: Eukaryota; Metazoa; Chordata; Mammalia; Rodentia; Muridae. The record is from RNAcentral. RNAcentral also lists the same sequence under 1 other name.